UCCGAGUUGACCCCGGCAGUCUCCCAUGAGUCCCCGGCACAACCCGCUGGCAACAUGGAACGAGGGUUGCGCUCGUUGCGGGACUUAACCCAACAUCUCACGACACGGGCUGACGACAGCCAUGCACCACCUGUGAACCUGCCCCGAAGGGAAGCCCUGUUUCCAGGGCGGUCAGGCACAUGUCAAGCCCAGGUAAGGUUCUUCGCGUUGCGUCGAAUUAAACCACAUGCACCGCUGCUUGUGCGGGUCCCCGUCAAUUCCUUUGAGUUUUAAUCUUGCGACCGUACUCCCCAGGCGGUCUACUUCACGCGUUAGCUGCGUUACCAAGUUAAUUAAAACCCGACAACUAGUAGACAUCGUUUAGGGCGUGGACUAC
RNAcentral lists this unclassified non-coding RNA (376 nucleotides) under uncultured bacterium. RNAcentral describes it as "contains 16S-23S intergenic spacer region". The record is from RNAcentral.